Equus quagga is the source of this 842-nucleotide long non-coding RNA. RefSeq lists it as uncharacterized. Lineage: Eukaryota; Metazoa; Chordata; Mammalia; Perissodactyla; Equidae. The transcript has 2 exons. The record is from RefSeq and is a predicted model, not a curated record.
AAUCACCCACUUUCUCACAGCCUCUCCUCAGAUGCUGGACAGACCGUGUCUUUUCCCAUCACCUGAGCAAGGAGACCCCGUGUGACAGAUAACAAAACAGCAGAGAAUUUGAAAAACCUGGGAGAGUACAAAUGAAAAUAAGAAAUCUUUCAGGCUCUCACAGCGCAAACCACGGCCGAGAGCUCGGCGUCGACUCUCGUCUUGAGUCUUUUUCUGGUGAAUAUAUGUAUUUUUCCGUAAUCGGAAGGACACGGUCCAUACACCUGUAAGCACCUUAACAAAAUAACUCUCUUUUUCUGGCUGUAAAGCGACACGCGUUAGUGCAGAAAAUUUGGACAAUUAAAAACAUACGAAGAAGAAAAUAAAAACAACCGGAUUCCACCGUGUGAGAUUAACAUUUUGGCAUUUUUCCUUCCUCUUGACACAAUUGAACAUCUGUUUGAAACAAAAUUGGGAUUAUAGUGUAAAUAUUGUUUUGCACCUUGCUCCUUUCAUGCAUGGCUGUGUUAUAAGUGUCCCCACAUCACUGAGGGUUCGUCUACUAUGUUGUUUGUAAUCACACAGCCCUGUAUUGGGGGGUUUGUGUUUUAUUUAACUUAUAUACUAUGAUUGGACAUUGAUGCUGUUUAUAUUUUCCAUCUCUUCCUUGCUUCCUUUUUCUUUUAUGGUGAAUAUCCUUGUAGCUAAACCUGUGUGCAUGUUCACGAAAAUGCCUUAUGACAAAUCCCCAGCUGUGGAAUUGCUAAGUCAAAGAAUGUAAUCACUAAUGCUUCUUGUACCCCUCUUUUUUACUUUAUGUGCUUUCCAAAUUUAAAAAGUAAUAAAUGAAUAUUUUAACAAGU